This 253-nucleotide ribosomal RNA is filed under the name uncultured bacterium. RNAcentral's name for it is "partial 16S ribosomal RNA". It matches the Rfam family "Bacterial small subunit ribosomal RNA", at positions 524 to 776 of the family's 1533-position model. The record is from RNAcentral.
GACGUAGGGCGCAAGCGUUGUCCGGAUUUAUUGGGCGUAAAGAGCUCGUAGGCGGCUCGUUGCGUCGGCUGUGAAAACCCGCGGCUUAACUGUGGGCUUGCAGCCGAUACGGGCGGGCUGGAGUUCGGUAGGGGAGACUGGAAUUCCUGGUGUAGCGGUGAAAUGCGCAGAUAUCAGGAGGAACACCGGUGGCGAAGGCGGGUCUCUGGGCCGACACUGACGCUGAGGCGCGAAAGCUAGGGGAGCGAACGGG